This 1157-nucleotide long non-coding RNA is filed under the name Arabidopsis lyrata. RNAcentral describes it as "long non-coding RNA (ALYR_LNC002443)". The record is from RNAcentral. Lineage: Eukaryota; Viridiplantae; Streptophyta; Magnoliopsida; Brassicales; Brassicaceae.
AAGGAGGAACAGAGGAAGCAACCAUACAUCUUUUGGUUUUUAAGAGAGAGCGCUCUGAAGUUUUAGUUUCAAUAAGCAAAGUAAAUUUAGUUAAAGAUUAAUAAUAUUCCAAUCAUUUUUUUCUUUUUGCACUAAUUGAGAAUAAAUUUUUAUGUGUACACGGUGAAAUCGGCAGGAUUGGUUUUGCUGGAACUUAUAGUAAAUACUAGAAAGUCCGCUUUUUUGGAAUAUUAGAAGCCCAUGAUUUCAAAAAAAUUAUUUUGGUAAAAAAGCAUUAACUUCUUUUCCUACAUAAACCAUGGGUCUAAAUACCAUAAAAGUGAGCCUAUAGAUAUUUGCAAUUUGUUCCACCAAAACUGACCUCGUGAUUCCAUCGUGUACACACAAAAUUUUCUUUGAUUAGUAUAUCAGGCGGUAUAUGAUUGAAAAGAUUAUUAAUUUGUAGCCAUGCUUGUAUCCCAUAGUAAUUUUUUAUUCAAAAAUCAAUAUAGUUUUUGCAUUCAUAUUUCAUUAUUUAAAAAAACAAUUUAGAUCGAUUGAAUUAACUUGAUCAAUUAAUCUUUAUGUUGUUUUAAAAAUCAUUUGAAUGUAUUUUUGUAAUUUUUGAGUAAACAAUGCAUCCGAGUUUACAUUCAAAUUUGUUGUUUGUAACAAGUUACAUCAAUUCAACUAACCUAAUGAAGUAAUCCUUUUACUAUUUUUGUUUUGUUUUAGUCAUUUGAUGUUUUUUUUUCUAUAAAACUUUAUCACAGCUUAUUUAUUUGUUUUUAAUUAAAAUUUUCAACGCUUAUUUAUGAUUAAUUACUUCACUUUUGGUCAUGGGUACCAAUUCUUCUGGGUAGCAAAUGUAAAUUUUCAAUCCAACUUCUGUUAAGUUUAAGUUCAAGUUCUUCACUUUUACAUUUUAGAGUUUUUUGUCAAUCUCCCUUUUUUUUAUUAACUAUAAAAACUAUCAAUUAAAAUUGGUUUUUAGCUUGAAAAUCCUUCUGAAGAGAUUUGGUUAUAUUUUUUUUCAGAGUGUACCGAGACCAAAUGGCUGCGGCGCAUCAAGGCACUUCUUCGACGGUCUCCGUUAUUAAAACAAAAAAAAAUCAAUUUGGUUUACGGUCAAAAAUAUAUUAAUCUUAGUAUGGUUGAAUUUCAUUAUCCAUUCUUAU